Long non-coding RNA from Capsicum annuum, 509 nucleotides. RefSeq lists it as uncharacterized. The record is from RefSeq and is a predicted model, not a curated record. The transcript has 2 exons. Lineage: Eukaryota; Viridiplantae; Streptophyta; Magnoliopsida; Solanales; Solanaceae.
UGUAAGUUCACCGUUGAAAAAUUUUAAGGUUAUUUAUUCCUAUUUCUUAGUUCAAAUUGUUUAAGUUUAUUUUCAUAAUAAAAUCAACAGGAUCAUGAUGUGGAAGGUUAAAAAAUGGGAGAUGUACCAUCACAAGAGCAGGUUGAUGAGAUGGAUAUCUUCUUAAUCGUGGAGGAAAAAGAAAAAGGAGAUGAUGAAGUGGGAGGUUUCAAAACAGGAGAUGCACCAUCACGAGACAAUGUCGAAGAGAUUGUUAUGGCCACAAUUUUGAAAGACAAAGGAAAAAAAGUAUUUUCUAAAUAAUAGUUUUACAUAGGUUGUUUCAUAUGUUAAUUUAUCUUUUUUUUUUACUUUUUCAAAUUUAUGAUAAAUUUUUAGCUCAGUUUGUUGUGGAUUUUGUCUAGUGUUCUUGGUAUUUAUAUUGUUAUUACAAUGUAUAUGUGAUAUAUAAUAUGUAUAUGAUUAUAAUAUACAUACAUUGUGCAUCAAAAUGACAACGUUAUUAUAAA